Molecule: long non-coding RNA, 2047 nt
Filed under: Amphimedon queenslandica
Lineage: Eukaryota; Metazoa; Porifera; Demospongiae; Haplosclerida; Niphatidae
Description: uncharacterized LOC109582033, transcript variant X4
Source: RNAcentral
CCUUCUCCUCUCCUCUCAGAUUCCAGCUGAACAAGGUCAGACUUAUGCAUCAGAAGUUAAUGCCAUAUUUGGAGAGACUAGUGCCCUCACUGCUAGGAAUGUUGAGGAAAUGUUCAUUGAAAUAAAUACCCUGUUCCCAGUCCUCAUGGGGUGGAGUAGGCAGACUGGUGAGAGUUGGGCCAGUCAAAAUGUUUUAAACCUGACCUCCAGUUCUCAAGACUGGACUGCCUGCUCCUGUCCCAUCAGUGUUACAUCUAGCCAGCAUUGAUGAAUGUGUGCAUGAUGAGGAACUGGUCUAAGACUGUACCAGUUGGACUGGGAAUGAAUAUUGGGCUCCUUGACUCGAGAUCAGUUCCCUCUCAUAAGUGAUGAUUUGGUUAAUUCUCAUUAUUUAUUAUUAUGAUGUAUUGACAUGUUAUGUGCAGUUGCUGUGAUCGCAAUCACACCUGAUUGUGACUCCACACCCUCAUUAAUAAUUGAUGACUAUCCUACCAUAUUACCGGAAUUGUGCAGACAGUUUUCAGCUCCAGUAAUAAAGAGGGAGUGUCUGGUAGUAAGAGACUAUUACUGGUGGCCUUCAAUCAGUGAGACGUCUCUUUGAGUCUCUCAGGUACUCAUUAGUAUUUCAUUAAGAGGAACUCACAAACUCAGUUCUCACAAUCUACUGACAUUCAUAAUACAAUCAGCAACCUUUCAAACUAAUUAUCGCUCAUUAAAAUAGACUUAUGAGUUAGCAAUGGUAGAAGAAGGUGAGUUUGAUGAGAGAGUGUCCCUUAACAGUUCAGAGACUGAGCAUGAGGAGGAGCAGCUGCUGGGAAGAUCAGAUGAAAAGAAUGAGAGGUUGGAGCCAAUUGGUGUCAUUUAUCAAUCUCCCCAGUAUUUACAGUAUGGUACUCCGUUAAGUGGAAAAGAAUAUUUAUCAACAAGAGAAAACAAGUUGACUCCAGUAUCAGAUGCUAAUCCAUCAGUGAUACAGUUAUAAUUAUUAUUACAAGAAUUACAACCAGAACCAACUGAUAUCAUCUAUAACACGUGCAGAGUAUCAUAAGUUGUGUUGAUCUAAUGAGUUCUUCAUUUUUAUUAUCUUUUAAAUCAAGUUUAUUUGAAUCUCCUGAUAAUUUUGCUCUUGUUCGUCUCCAGCUCACUCAAUCAUUAUAUUAUAAGUUAUUAACGUUAAUUAUCAUUGAUGAGGAGAAGAAGCAAAAGCUUUCAACCAAAAAGUAGAUGUCAAUACAGCUAAUGUUGGAACACGGUUAUUUUCAUAAGUCGCUUUUUGCACUGUCAGCAGAAAUGGUCUUAUUUUCGUACAGUUCACACAGCAGAGUGUUUCCAUGGAUAUUAUCAGUUAUUGAUUUCAUUGUUAUCAUUUUUUAAAAGUUAUUGAGAUUAUCAUUAAAGUGGAGCCGUCAUUCCCUCAUGCUAUAGUGAAGCAUUUGAGCGAAAUUGAGGAAAUGGUCCUAUCAUGAUCAUCUUUAGCCCAGCAGUCCUGUUCUCCAUUAUUUGAUGCCAUUCAUUCCAUUGGGUCUGUACCUAGUUACAGUGAUGUCAUGUUGCCUAACAACCCGAUAAUAAUGACCACACUCACCUUGAUUUUCUCACCUUAAAAGGGAUUCAAGUCCUGUUGUGUCUCCUCUACCUUCAGUGAGGGAGCGUUAUUCUUCUCCUAGUUCUGUUACUUCACAUCGUCAGCUCUUCACUGCUAGAAAGAAUGGCUCAGGCUCUCCUCUAAAGUCAUCAGUUAGUGCCGGGUUAAGUAAACCACACCCCCUAAACCACCUCAAGGAGUCGUACAGGGUAAUCGUAAAGGCCCUGUUAAAAGAUAGAAUUUAGAGAAUGAGGAAGACUAUGGAAACUAUCAGCCAUCAAGGGAAGCACUACCAAAAACUGCUUUCCAGUAUGGAGUUAAAAUGAAUGAUGGUCGUAAGACUCGUAGACAAGGUGUCAAGAAUGAGAAAGCUAAACUGGACAGAGAAUGGCAGCAGAUCAGUGAGCUCUAAGUUACCACCAGAUUGUUUAACUAGUUUACCAGCUGGUGCCUCUCUCUUAA